UAUACUCUGGUGUAAGGGCACAUUAGAUUUUGAUUCUUAAGGGGAUAGAGCAACAACUAUCGAGUAUAA
Molecule: transfer RNA, 69 nt
Filed under: Hemisquilla australiensis
Lineage: Eukaryota; Metazoa; Arthropoda; Malacostraca; Stomatopoda; Hemisquillidae
Also listed under: 1 other name
Description: tRNA-Gln
Source: RNAcentral